Long non-coding RNA from Silurus meridionalis, 1053 nucleotides. RefSeq lists it as uncharacterized. The transcript has 3 exons. Lineage: Eukaryota; Metazoa; Chordata; Actinopteri; Siluriformes; Siluridae. The record is from RefSeq and is a predicted model, not a curated record.
UCCAGCUUAAACUAAAGCAGGCAACUUGUAUUUGGCUUGAUGUAUGGUAGUCAGUUUAGAAGUCCCUUUUUCUCUUCUAUGUUCAUUUCAUCGCUAUGGUUCCUGAUCUUCUACUCCUAGUUUGAACAAUACCCUGUCACUUGACUGGCGGUUUCCAUAAGCAGCUCAGCCACAGAAGAGUGGAGCGGCGAAAGAAAUCACCUGCCAACCAAUUUCCUCGAUUCAUCAAUCUCCCCUGGCCAUCUUAUCCACACAGGAAAUCAAAAGGACCUGAUAAAAAAUAUUGCACAUCAGAAAACUCUCCUUAGCAACGUAUUGCUCACCGGACUGAGUCCCACACAGGAACGUUUCCUUGGAGGGCUCGAGGCAUCGCUAAUGCCAUUAGAUUGCCGUUGUGUCCAUGCCACAGAUGUUCAGGUCCUAAGCGGUUAUAUUAACUAAUGACGGGUCAUUAUGCAUGUCCAGUAACACGACCACAAGUCAUGGCAAAACAUUAUUAAUAAAUCAGAUAUAACCACUGCCUAUGAUGUGAUAGAUUAGACAAAAAUAUAUAUGAAUGAUUUACAGAAAAAAAUGAGAUGACAGUGUUCUACCAGUGGUCCUGAAUCCACUUCUACAGAUCAUAGGAAGAGAAAACAUGGACAAUAUGACACCUUUUAUAAGCUACACAUGUGAGGUCAUGGGAAAAGUCUAUUAUUUUCAAAGGACGUCAUCCAGAGCAAAAGAAAUUAGAACUUUAGCAUCACAUUAUUGCAAUGAAUAUUUUUUUUUACUAUUAUAUGCACCAAGGCUUCUGUUCAACUGGCUGAUCUAAGACCGAAGGAGAAGAUGCUUCUGAUCAGAGUGAUACAUUGGUUAUAACGGUCCAGCCAAUGGUUUAGGUGUCGUGGUAGCGUAAGCAUCACGGUGUGGGUGAUAUUAACUAAUAUAAUAAGAUGAAAUAUCGAUGACAACAAAAUGCUUGCGCGAUUCAAUGCAAUACAACCGAUUAAAAUGGCUGUAUAGAGACGGUUUUUACUUCUUUUAAAUAUUUUAAUAAAAUACAUUUUCAAU